GGUCUUGAGGAGCGUUGCGACAGCGAAUCCGCUGCCAGGCUCAAGAUCCUUCCCAUUGGCCCCGCCGGCCGCCGGUUUCCCCCGGAUCGUUGGCGUGUGGGCCCCAAGAACGGCGCUCACGUCCC
RNAcentral lists this non-coding RNA (125 nucleotides) under Pandoraea pnomenusa. RNAcentral describes it as "SAH sequence". It matches the Rfam family "SAH (S-adenosyl-L-homocysteine) riboswitch aptamer". The record is from Rfam by way of RNAcentral. Lineage: Bacteria; Pseudomonadati; Pseudomonadota; Betaproteobacteria; Burkholderiales; Burkholderiaceae.